RNAcentral lists this ribosomal RNA (496 nucleotides) under uncultured bacterium. RNAcentral's name for it is "partial 16S ribosomal RNA". It matches the Rfam family "Bacterial small subunit ribosomal RNA", at positions 29 to 507 of the family's 1533-position model. The record is from RNAcentral.
AUGAACGCUGGCGGCGUGCCUAAUACCUGCAAGUCGAGCGAACAGACGAGGAGCUUGCUCCUCUGACGUUAGCGGCGGACGGGUGAGUAACACGUGGAUAACCUACCUAUAAGACUGGGAUAACUUCGGGAAACCGGAGCUAAUACCGGAUAAUAUAUUGAACCGCAUGGUUCAAUAGUGAAAGACGGUUUUGCUGUCACUUAUAGAUGGAUCCGCGCCGCAUUAGCUAGUUGGUAAGGUAACGGCUUACCAAGGCAACGAUGCGUAGCCGACCUGAGAGGGUGAUCUGCCACACUGGAACUGAGACACGGUCCAGACUCCUACAGGAGGCAGCAGUAGGGAAUCUUCCGCAAUGGGCGAAAGCCUGACGGAGCAACGCCGCGUGAGUGAUGAAGGUCUUCGGAUCGUAAAACUCUGUUAUUAGGGAAGAACAAAUGUGUAAGUAACUAUGCACGUCUUGACGGUACCUAAUCAGAAAGCCACGGCUAACUACGUG